This 433-nucleotide ribosomal RNA is filed under the name uncultured bacterium. RNAcentral describes it as "partial 16S ribosomal RNA". It matches the Rfam family "Bacterial small subunit ribosomal RNA", at positions 29 to 507 of the family's 1533-position model. The record is from RNAcentral.
AACGAACGCUGGCGGCAUGCCUAACACAUGCAAGUCGAACGAGACCUUCGGGUCUAGUGGCGCACGGGUGCGUAACGCGUGGGAAUCUGCCCUUCGGUUGGGAAUAACUGAGAGAAAUUUCAGCUAAUACCUUAUAAUGUCUUCGGACCAAAGAUUUAUCGCCGAGGGAUGAGCCCGCGUAGGAUUAGGUAGUUGGUGGGGUAAUGGCCUACCAAGCCGACGAUCCUUAGCUGGUCUGAGAGGAUGAUCAGCCACACUGGGACUGAGACACGGCCCAGACUCCUACGGGUGGCAGCAGUGGGGAAUAUUGGACAAUGGGCGAAAGCCUGAUCCAGCAAUGCCGCGUGAGUGAUGAAGGCCUUAGGGUUGUAAAGCUCUUUUACCCGGGAUGAUAAUGACAGUACCGGGAGAAUAAGCUCCGGCUAACUCCGUG